This is a long non-coding RNA of Cyprinus carpio carpio, 3787 nucleotides long. The record is from Ensembl. NCBI's taxonomy places the organism in Eukaryota, Metazoa, Chordata, Actinopteri, Cypriniformes, Cyprinidae.
AAAUGAAAUACAAAAAGAGAAUAGAAAAAAUAACUUACCGUAGUAAACUAGAAAUUAAAGUAGAAAUUAUAUUUAACAACAACAAAAUAGUUGGUGGUUAUAUAACCAUAAAAAUGCUGUGCUCUUACGUAAGUGAGUAUGUAGAGUUUUUAUGUGUCCACGCGCAUGUGUGUGCGUGUAUACAUAUGCAGUUCCCCAUCCGGUGCAGAUAUAAGAGGUUGAUAGUGUAGACAGGUCACGUGUCUUAUGGGCCCUGUUAAUUACUCAAGAGUUAAUCGGUUUUAGAGAGCGGUACAGCUUUAGCUGCAGUGUCUCUCUGCCUGUGCCCUGUACUCAAAGGUUAUAUAUGUACUCAAAGCCCUUGAGCUCGCAGAUAAAUGCCAAACAGGCCAAAUUCUAAAAGAUCCACAGAGUGGGUUAAAGCCCGGCUGGUCAAAACACAGUCUGGUGGUCUCUGGGAAGUAGCAGACAGGAGUAAUUCCCUUUAAUCACAAGAGAUUUCCCGAGCACUUUGUGGGAAUAAAAGUCAUGAAAAGGUCAUGCUAUCACAGACAAGUAAGUUUUAUUUGUAAAAGUAGGGUUGCAAAGAGAAGAUUUAGAACUUUUUGAAGUGAAUACAACCUAGUUAAUCAGACACACAACCAACUGCACUGUUUGUGCUACAGUCAUGGAAACAAUAUUCACUUGCAAAAAAUAAACAAACAAAAAACAAACAAACAAACAAAACAUUCAUUUUAAAUAGAUUGAGGGACUCCAGCACCUAUAAAUACUGUAUCGUAGUGAUAUUGAUAUCAUAGAUAUCAUAGUGGCUUCAUAAUGAUUUUACGUUUAACUUUAAAGUGAAUAAUGAUUUAAGUCAAAAAGUUUAAUUUGACAUUAUUGCAUAAAACAAUUUUUAAAAGCACACAUAAGUUUGUUAAGAAACAGUCAUGAAAGUGUCUCUUGAAGUUCACUUAAGUGGCCUUUUUUUCUCAAUAAUAUUAUAUUAUCUGCACGUUUUUAAAACUAGAGAUGGUUUGAAGGAACUAUUCAAUAUAAUUAAACACAUUUCUUUUUCAUGAUUUUUCACAAAAUCAUCCUGCAUCGCUGCAGAAGUAUUGACCCAGUGUUUACAAAGUAAACAUUCAAAGAAGAUCAAAUGCCCUUUACAAAAAAAAAACAAAAAACGGCAAAACAGCAAAACAGCACAAUUUUGAAGUUGGAGGAGAAAAUAAGAUGGGAGUUUUUAGAUCUACCCUAACUGUCUUGGACCGAAAAAAAAAAAAAAAAAACUGAGUUCACGAAGAGCUAGACAAGAUUUUUUUAUUUAUUUAUUUAUUUUUUUUUUUUUAGAAAAUAUCGUUUCGCUAGAUAGGACCCUUCUCAGUCGGCUGAGAUCGUUUAGAGCCAUUUGAAGCUGCAUUUUGGAAGUUCAAAAUCGGGGGCACCAUUGAAGUCCAUCAUAUGGAGAGAAAUCCUGAAAUGUUUUGCUCAAAAAACAUAAUUUCUUUAUGACUGAAGAAAGAAAGACAUGAAUAUCUUGGAUGACUAGGGGGUGAGUACAUUAUCUGUAAAUUUUUGUUCUGGAAGUGAACUACUUUAAGGAUGUAAUUUUUUGGCUUGAGCCAUGAAGUAAGCAAACACCCAAAACACCCCAGAUGUGCUCAAAUGUCUAGGGUUAACCGUGAAACAAUAAUUUUAUCACAGGCUGAGAUAAAGUCGAUCAGUUUCUGAUUUUGUAUUUGUUUCUUUCUGAUAGAUCCAUCUGGACUUACUCAGAAAAAUUUACCUGGUUAAAUUGUGUCAAUCAAGACCCAUCUCUAUGUAACUCUCUGUUGGGUGUGUGUAUAUGUUUAUACGCACAAUCUAAGUGUAUGUGUGUGUCAUCAUCUCUAGCCAGGGGCUCUGCGGCUGUCAUGUUUCUAGUACAGACCAUCUGCUGCAUGAGCCUGCCGUGAUGCCAGCAGAAGCACAAGAGAACAAUAUGCCAAACACCCACACACCGACACACCCACACACACACACACUGUAGUGCCUCUCUAUUGCUGCUGACUCAAAAAUACAAUCCUUUUCCUAGACCCCACCAAACCCAAACCCAAACCCAAAAAGACCCUCUGCAUCCCUUGUGAAAUAAAUGUGUGCGGAAUUGUGUUCACCUGUAGUGUAUUUCAAAUCUUAAAAGUAUAUAGAAAACAAAAUAUAAUAAAAUAAACUGUACUGAAAUAAAAGGCAACUUAAGUGCACUUAAUCAUUGCACUUUGUAAUAUAAAACUUUAAGUCGCAACUUAAAAGUGCAUUUAUAAUAAUUCUUCUUCUUUCAUACCUGCACUGUUGCAAGGUCUGCUUAUUGGCAUUUCGCUUUCCACUUCUUCCAGUCUAGGGCAUCGUCGGGGGCUGUGUUGACUUGUUUCAUAUUUUCUUUUCUUUUUUUUCUCAGUCCAUUCAUCUCUUCUUUGGUCAAACAUGUGGUCGCCAUCCAUCUGGGCUAAGGCACAAUGCUGUCUAUCACUUGAUUCUUCUCCGCUGUGAACGACAUGGCUGUCCCAAUAAAGAUGUGCUUCUUUCAUCUUCUCUAUGAUUGGAGCCAUUCCCAGUACUUUCUGCACGUCUUCAUUCCUGACAUGGUCCAGACUGCUGGUGUUUGGCGGAUGCAGGCCAACACUCUGAACUGUGAAGUGUGACUGACCGUAUGAGGGUCUUGUAAAUCUCUGCUUUAAGAUGGGUGGGAAAUCGCCAAUCUCAUACAGGGUUUCAGUGGGUCUUAAAAAGUCUUACAUUUUGUUGCAUUAAAUUAAAAGCCUUAAAAAGUCUUAAAUGGUAUAAGAAAGUCAAGAGGUCUUAAAUUUGGGGAUGGAAAGACAAGAAUUUAUAAAAGCACCACUUGCUGGCAGAGAAUGAAUGUGCAUUUUCAAUAAGCCCGUCUGCUGUAUUUAUUCAGACCAAAGCAAAAAUCGACCCACACUUUUAUGCGUCAAACAUAUAAAUUUGAACUGGUGGAUCGACAGUAAGCUAAUGCUAAUGCAUUAUAAAAAAUUUAACAAUUAAGACACUGAAGGCCAGAUUUACUAACAGCUUGCACCAGCGCAAACCAUCUUUUGGUGUUAAAAUAGUACUGUAAGGAUUUACUAAAGAUGCGCAGUGAAGAAUUAACACUGACAAAGUGAGGACACAGUUAUUUUUGCGCCGGACCUUAUUGAACAUGCAUUUGUAGGAGUUUCCCUUUCAGACACAAAAUUUAUGGGAGGAGAUUAUUCAAAUGAAUCAUGCAACGUGAUUUACUAAUGUUUGCUCUGGUCAAAUUACUGAUAUUUGCACCAUUAUUUAAUGCCCAAAAAAGCACAUCUUAAACAAUUUUUCGCCUGUGUCGUAAGUAGAUUACCCGAACCUGAUGAUCAUCGGUUCUGCUUAUUUGCGACUACGCUAAUUUGCGCUGUGCUUGGUAUAUUGCGUUGGUCAAUAUGCAAAUGAGAUGUUGUGUCUGUGUUCUUUAAUUUGCGCAUUUUCAGUAAAUCACUAGCAGACAUUUUUACCAGAUGGCAUUGACAUGCACACGUGUGUCUAAAGCCCAAAGUAUACUUAAUUUUUUAUGCAUACGCGAGGGUCAGCAUACAGUGCACAUGAGGUGAAUUUCGUCAUCAGAAUAGUAUGCUAUUUUGAUGACGAAAUUCACAUCUAAUUUUUCUCCAGAAGUUUUGACCAAUAAAAAUAUAUUUGUACUCUUUUAAACCAAAGCUGGGUUAUUUCAUACCGUGUAGUGUGUCUACAGUAUGGGCAUGUAAUAACUUUUGGAGUAAAAAUAGAACAAACA